AUGAACGCUGGCGGCGUGCCUAAUACAUGCAAGUCGCGCGCACAGACGAGGAGCUUGCUCCUCUGACGUUAGCGGCGGACGGGUGAGUAACACGUGGAUAACCUACCUAUAAGACUGGGAUAACUUCGGGAAACCGGAGCUAAUACCGGAUAAUAUAUUGAACCGCAUGGUUCAAUAGUGAAAGACGGUUUUGCUGUCACUUAUAGAUGGAUCCGCGCCGCAUUAGCUAGUUGGUAAGGUAACGGCUUACCAAGGCAACGAUGCGUAGCCGACCUGAGAGGGUGAUCGGCCACACUGGAACUGAGACACGGUCCAGACUCCCACGGGAGGCAGCAGUAGGGAAUCUUCCGCAAUGGGCGAAAGCUUGACGGAGCAACGCCGCGUGAGUGAUGAAGGUCUUCGGAUCGUAAAACUCUGUUAUUAGGGAAGAACAAAUGUGUAAGUAACUAUGCACGUCUUGACGGUACCUAAUCAGAAAGCCACGGCUAACUACGUG
This 496-nucleotide ribosomal RNA is filed under the name uncultured bacterium. RNAcentral describes it as "partial 16S ribosomal RNA". It matches the Rfam family "Bacterial small subunit ribosomal RNA", at positions 29 to 507 of the family's 1533-position model. The record is from RNAcentral.